UGGGGAAUAUUGGACAAUGGGCGAAAGCCUGAUCCAGCGACGCCGCGUGGAUGAUGAAGGCCUUCGGGUUGUAAAGUCCUUUCAGUAGGGAAGAUAAUGACGGUACCUACAGAAGAAGCUCCGGCUAACUUCGUGCCAGCAGCCGCGGUAAUACGAAGGGAGCUAGCGUUACUCGGAAUUACUGGGCGUAAAGCGUGCGUAGGCGGUUUUGUAAGUCAGAAGUGAAAGCCUAGGGCUCAACCUUAGAAUUGCUUUUGAUACUGCAAGACUAGAGUAUCAGAGAGGAUAGUGGAAUUCCUAGUGUAGAAGUGAAAUUCGUAGAUAUUAGGAGGAACAUCAGAAGCGAAGGCGACUGUCUAGCUGAUUACUGACGCUGUUGCACGAAAGCGUGGGGAGCAAA
RNAcentral lists this ribosomal RNA (400 nucleotides) under uncultured bacterium. RNAcentral describes it as "bacterial SSU rRNA". It matches the Rfam family "Bacterial small subunit ribosomal RNA", at positions 355 to 772 of the family's 1533-position model. The record is from RNAcentral.